This 1630-nucleotide long non-coding RNA is filed under the name Homo sapiens (human). RNAcentral's name for it is "non-protein coding lnc-TEX15-4:1". Lineage: Eukaryota; Metazoa; Chordata; Mammalia; Primates; Hominidae. The record is from RNAcentral.
UAUUGCUAUGAGUGUAUACACUCUCUUAAAGUCUUCCUUUCUAAAAUAUUUAUAUCCAUUAGGUCUAAAUGAUUUCCUUUUACCUUUUGGGUCUGAUAAGAUUUGGGUAUGUGUCUAUAUCUAUAUAUAUACACACAGACAUAUGUAUAUACAUGUAUACAUAUAUAUGUGUGUAUACAUACAUACAAUACCAUGUCAGACUUAAAGAUAAAUAUCUUUAACUCAUUGUAUAUAAACAUUAUUAAAUUUAGUUUUCCAUUAAUUAUUUAAGUAAAGAAUUAGUUAAGCAGCCAGAUUUUCUACUUUGUAUGUAUACUUCAAAGUUUUUACCAUCUCAAAGCUGCAGAUUAAAUAGAUGCAUAUAUACUGGCAAUUGAGUAUACUCUAAAAUUAUUAAGCCUUCUGCCAGUCCUUUUGUUUCAUUUUUUUCAUAGUUAAUCAUUCAAAAAUGAGAUGAUGCUAUGACUUUUUGAUACUUAAAAUUCCCAAGAAUUCAUUAGCCGUAAUUAAAUAUGAUCCAGUUCAAAACUCUGGUCUUAGGACAUGUAUUGCCAUGUAUCUUAUAAAAUAAGCUACUAUUCUUAUCUGUGCAAUAUGCAUUUUAUUUAUUGUCAUUUGUAACAUACAUGGAGCUGCAAGUGUUCAUGGUAUCCUUCAAAAUAACAGAAUCCCUGCCUUGAAGACAUUAAACUCUUAAGGCAACUGGAAGUUAGAAGUUAAAAAAUGAGCAUGAAAGUUAGUAACCAAAAGUACUAGUUCACUGUAUAAUUCUAAAACACUGAUGAUGUUUGCACCUAAUAAUCCAAGCAUAAUGUGGUACAGGCUCAAACUGUAGUAAUAUAAGCUAAUAGUAUGAAAUUUGGAAACGGGUUCCUCUUGAUAGUUGGCAGUGUGCUCCUAGCAAUCGAAAGCAGCACUAAUCUGUUGCUUUAUGCAAAAGAUGCAAUGUAUUAUAAAGAUAUUAAAGUUCCUCUACAUUUUAUAAUUUUCCUUGUUAAAGCCCCAGACUGCCAUGUCCCUGAAACUUGAGUCAAACACAAGCUUAUUUGCACUAAAGAGCAUGGCCAAAAAAAUAAAUGACAGGGUGGAAAAGCUAGUUGGAACCUCUUGAAAUAAUUGGUUCUAAUAUGAGAAUUUCACAUUUGUCUAUUUGAAAGCUGUAUGGUCCAGGCAGACAAUCUGUCAGUUCACUAAUUUAAUAAUGCACUUUACCUUUUGUAUAUAGAAGAUGUACAUUUAUGCCACUUGACAGGUGGGAUGUGUUUCAAUAACUAUGUAGCUAGAAUCUAUAAGGUGAUCCCGUGCAUGCAUAUGUUUGUGUUGGAACUGUUGUUGUAACAGGUUUCCAUUAAAUCAGUGUAAUGGAGAAGGGUAGAAGAUGCUUUUGAAACAAAUCCCAGUAUAUUUAACAAAGAAUUUUAAAGUAGAGUUCACAUUUGAUGUCUUAAGAACUAGAAUAAAUAAAAUACUAUUUCUAACCCAAAUUCUUAUUACAGUUGAGACUAUAUUUAGUUGAGAUUCCCCACAGUGCCCUGACAGUUAAUUUGGGGAAUUUGUCUAGACAAAAUUUUUUUCAAUCAUUGUUUCAUUGUUGAUAUGUGUUUAAGUAAUGAAUAAAUAUGCAGUACAU